This is a long non-coding RNA of Oryza brachyantha (malo sina), 771 nucleotides long. RefSeq lists it as uncharacterized. Lineage: Eukaryota; Viridiplantae; Streptophyta; Magnoliopsida; Poales; Poaceae. The record is from RefSeq and is a predicted model, not a curated record. The transcript is spliced from 4 exons.
UCUUUUGCCAAUGCCAUCUCCUCACCUCCCGGCGCCGCCGUGCCGUCGCCCCGCCGCUGUCCCCCGCACGCGCGCCACCUCGCCGCGGCCUGGCUCGUCGCGACCGUGCGUGUCGCCGCCUGGCGCCUUGAUCGGCACGCCCGCGAGCGUCGCCGUCGCGCGCGCCCACGGCCCGACGCCGCACCGCUUUUCCGUUUUUCUUCGCUCUCUUCCUCCUCCGCAACUUUUAACCCCCAAAGCAGUGCACAGCUGCACUCGCUCAGUCUGACACCUGCGCAGCCCCGUUCCUUCCUCUCCUCUUCCUCUCUCUGAGUGUGGUUGCAGUACAGUUUCGGCUUUCUUCAUCGCCAGGACAGAUCGAGUGUGGUGUGGAGAUUGCAAGUCCAUUUUGAUCUUUGGGACAAGCUAGAAAGGAAGAGGAGUAAGCAUAAGAAAGAAGUACAGGCGUCGCGGGGGUGCGGCCGGUGUGGCACAGGCGUCGUGGCCGACGGCGCGGGUGGCAGGGCGACGAGUGCGACUGCGAUCUCCCUUAACUUCCAUCUGUUUUGAUGAUUAUAGCUGUUUUUGGUAAGAUGGAUGUGGUCCAUUGAAUUGAACUGCAUUGGACGGACUGAAAUAAUUUGGAGCACUGUAAAAUUUUCCAUCAAAUCCUACUGAUAUUUUACCUGUUCGAGCUUCGAGUUUCAAGCUGUUUUCAUCGAAGUUCUCAUGGCAGUACAGAUCUCAUCAGUUCUAUUAAAUCCUACUGAAAUUUAACUGAUUCAGGCUGCG